AUCUAAAUCAUUACCAAUAAAACAUUGUGCUGUGAGUUACCAGUCGAAUCGUAUAGAAUCGUAUAGAAGAAUCGAGUGUAAUAACUUUUUAAAUAAAAAAAGUUAUUAUGUUAAGAAUAUUAUGUGUUUUACUAAAGGUGUUAAUACUAAUGACAGCGCACAUCGCGUUUUCGUCAGAAGAUUUGGAAAAUCCUGAUGGCAUAGCUCACUACAUAUAUGAUCAGUCCUCAAACCUCAUACCUGUUGAGAAUUAUAUUGAUAACGUUGUUGUGAAAAAUGAAGUCGAAAACGUUCCAAGCGAGCCAACUUCUCCUAGAGUAUUCAUACAAUUGAGAAUAGACUGGACGAGAGAAGCGGCAUUAUUGUGAGAUACAGAUGGGAAGAACCUAAAUCCAUAAAUGGUAAAAUACAAAAAUACACAGUCCGGAUUUGGUACAUAAACCAGAAAAAGUUUAUAAACUUUAUUCAUAAUAUCUUAUCUACGGAAGUACACUUUAAAGUGACCAAUUUACCUCCUUCUAUGAUGUAUUUUCAAGUACAAGCGCAUAACGAAAAUGGCGCAGGUCCUUAUACAAAGUGCAUAAAUGUAUUGUCACCGCACGAAAAUCCAGUACCUUUAUUAUUAAUUAAAUCAUCGCAUAAUAUAUUAGUA
This is a non-coding RNA of Nylanderia fulva, 652 nucleotides long. NCBI's taxonomy places the organism in Eukaryota, Metazoa, Arthropoda, Insecta, Hymenoptera, Formicidae. The record is from RefSeq and is a predicted model, not a curated record.